GAUUUCUGGUCUGGCGCGCCUGGCCCGCGGCGUUAGCUUGUGAGUGCCGGGUCGCGCCUGCCAUCCUUCUAGAAAACCUGUCUACCCUUCACUGGGCCGGACAGGCGAUCUAGAUCUUUUACUUUGAAAAAAUUAGAGUGUUUAAAGCAGGCUUUUGCUAUGAAUACAUUAGCAUGGAAUAAUAAUUUAGGACUUCGGUUCUAUUUUGUUGGUUUCUAGGACUGAAGUAAUGAUUGAUAGGGAUAGUUGGGGGUGCUAGUAUUCAGUGGCCAGAGGUGAAAUUCUCGGAUUCACUGAAGACUAACUUAUGCGAAAGCAUU
RNAcentral lists this ribosomal RNA (320 nucleotides) under Allapsidae sp. Its description in RNAcentral is "SSU rRNA". The stretch from base 67 to 320 matches the Rfam family "Eukaryotic small subunit ribosomal RNA", at positions 700 to 955 of the family's 1831-position model. Lineage: Eukaryota; Cercozoa; Glissomonadida; Viridiraptoridae. The record is from RNAcentral.